AGAAAUAUGUAAUUCAAGAAAAAGCUUCUAACUUAUUUCUUUAGCAGUGAAAUUCUGUUAAUAUUUC
This 67-nucleotide transfer RNA is filed under the name Ptilodactylidae sp. 2 ACP-2013. Its description in RNAcentral is "tRNA-Ser". The record is from RNAcentral. Lineage: Eukaryota; Metazoa; Arthropoda; Insecta; Coleoptera; Ptilodactylidae.